UGGCUCUGGCAUCGAUGAAGAACGCAGCGAAAUGCGAUAAGUAGUGUGAAUUGCAGAAUUCAGUGAAUCAUCGAAUCUUUGAACGCACAUUGCGCCCUCUGGUAUUCCUCAGGGCAUGCCUGUUCGAGCGUCAUCUCCCCCUUCAAGCCCUGCUUGGUGUUGGGCGCCCGUCCCGCCUCUGGCGUGGACCCGCCUCAAAUGCAUUGGCGGCCUGUGUAUUUCGGGCUACGAGCGCAGCACAUUGGCGCCUCGACCCGCGCCACCGGCGUCCAGUAAGCGACCACAAUAUUGACCUCGGAUCAGGUAGGGAUACCCGCUGA
RNAcentral lists this unclassified non-coding RNA (320 nucleotides) under uncultured fungus. RNAcentral describes it as "partial contains 5.8S ribosomal RNA and internal transcribed spacer 2". The stretch from base 1 to 133 matches the Rfam family "5.8S ribosomal RNA", at positions 22 to 154 of the family's 154-position model. Lineage: Eukaryota; Fungi. The record is from RNAcentral.